AUCAUGAAGGCCCCAGCAGAGACGCACAGGAAAGUAACAUCACCUCAAAUGAGUGUCUGACCUCAAAGUUAUUUUUCAGAACUUAUAGGAUCAACAAGGCACCUGGUAUACCGAAAGAGCCCUGGUACUCAACUACAUCGGCUUCUCACUGCAUGGAUAACAUAGGGCCAGCCUGGUCUGUCCCACAAUAACACGGUUUCACCGUCAUUGUUGCAAUGAAGUUAUCAAUUUCCCAUAAGACUUCUUUGGAAAACUCUAUUUACGGAGAAGGAUUAAUAAUCAAAUGACAUAAUGGAGACUCAUCCCGACCAGCAAGUUAGGAGAAGACGGCUUAACAAGAGCAUCUGAUGUUCCCAAGUUCAUUGGAGACGAGGCAGAGGAAAUACGCGCAGAGGGAAGGCUAAUGGCCCAGAAGGAAUGCCGUGUCACGGACAAGGCCAUUAGCUCAACGGUGUUCACCUGCCCGUCCCACAGCUGUGCAAUUACUUAUGGGAGAAAUAAAAAUGGCG
This 509-nucleotide long non-coding RNA is filed under the name Rattus norvegicus (Norway rat). RNAcentral describes it as "long non-coding RNA NONRATT013614". Lineage: Eukaryota; Metazoa; Chordata; Mammalia; Rodentia; Muridae. The record is from RNAcentral.